RNAcentral lists this ribosomal RNA (497 nucleotides) under uncultured bacterium. Its description in RNAcentral is "partial 16S ribosomal RNA". It matches the Rfam family "Bacterial small subunit ribosomal RNA", at positions 28 to 507 of the family's 1533-position model. The record is from RNAcentral.
GAUGAACGCUGGCGGCGUGCCUAAUACAUGCGAGUCGAGCGAACAGACGAGGAGCUUGCUCCUCUGACGUUAGCGGCGGACGGGUGAGUAACACGUGGAUAACCUACCUAUAAGACUGGGAUAACUUCGGGAAACCGGAGCUAAUACCGGAUAAUAUAUUGAACCGCAUGGUUCAAUAGUGAAAGACGGUUUUGCUGUCACUUAUAGAUGGAUCCGCGCCGCAUUAGCUAGUUGGUAAGGUAACGGCUUACCAAGGCAACGAUGCGUAGCCGACCUGAGAGGGUGAUCGGCCACACUGGAACUGAGACGCGGUCCAGACUCCUACGGGAGGCAGCAGUAGGGAAUCUUCCGCAAUGGGCGAAAGCCUGACGGAGCAACGCCGCGUGAGUGAUGAAGGUCUUCGGAUCGUAAAACUCUGUUAUUAGGGAAGAACAAAUGUGUAAGUAACUAUGCACGUCUUGACGGUACCUAAUCAGAAAGCCACGGCUAACUACGUG